This 601-nucleotide ribosomal RNA is filed under the name Entamoeba chattoni. RNAcentral's name for it is "partial small subunit ribosomal RNA". It matches the Rfam family "Eukaryotic small subunit ribosomal RNA", at positions 238 to 899 of the family's 1831-position model. Lineage: Eukaryota; Evosea; Mastigamoebida; Endamoebidae. The record is from RNAcentral.
AUAGCUUUUUGAGAAGAAGGUUAAAUUGAGAAUUGAUGAAACUUAAAUGUUUUUACAAGUAACUGUUUUAAAUAUCUGACCUAUCAACUUGAAGGUAUGAUAGAGGCAUACCCAAGUGAUAACGGGUAACGAGAAAUAAGGGUUUGAUUUCGGAGAGGGAGCUUUAAAAAUGGCUACCACUUCUAAGGAAGGCAGCAGGCGCGCAAAUUACCCACUUUUAAUUUAGAGAGGUAGUGACGAUAAUUAAUAGGAUUUGUUUUAUAACAAGUUCAAUUGUAAUGAUUAGAGUGUAAAAAAAUUUAAGAAAUCGAUUGGAGGGCAAGUCUGGUGCCAGCAGCCGCGGUAAUUCCAGCUCCAAUAGUGUAUAUUAAAGUUGUUGUGUUUAAAAAGCUCGUAGUCGAAUUAUAGGGUUUUUAUGUUAGUAAUUCUAUUACUAGGAUAGAAAAAGGAGAAAGGUUAUUUAUAAUCUUUUAUUUACUUUGAAAAAAAUAGAGUGUUCAAAGCAAAAGUCAAUUAAUGUAUAAUGAAGCAUAGGAUAAUAAUGAGGAGAAGAAAUUUUUGAGAACAGUAUUAAAAAGGGAAAUUGGGGUAAUUUAGACAA